This 2903-nucleotide ribosomal RNA is filed under the name Escherichia coli. Its description in RNAcentral is "23S ribosomal RNA". It matches the Rfam family "Bacterial large subunit ribosomal RNA". Lineage: Bacteria; Pseudomonadati; Pseudomonadota; Gammaproteobacteria; Enterobacterales; Enterobacteriaceae. The record is from RNAcentral.
GGUUAAGCGACUAAGCGUACACGGUGGAUGCCCCGGCAGUCAGAGGCGAUGAAGGACGUGCUAAUCUGCGAUAAGCGUCGGUAAGGUGAUAUGAACCGUUAUAACCGGCGAUUUCCGAAUGGGGAAACCCAGUGUGUUUCGACACACUAUCAUUAACUGAAUCCAUAGGUUAAUGAGGCGAACCGGGGAACUGAAACAUCUAAGUACCCCGAGGAAAAGAAAUCAACCGAGAUUCCCCAGUAGCGGCGAGCGAACGGGGAGGAGCCCAGAGCCUGAAUCAGUGUGUGUGUUAGUGGAAGCGUCUGGAAAGGCGCGCGAUACAGGGUGACAGCCCCGUACACAAAAAUGCACAUACUGUGAGCUCGAUGAGUAGGGCGGGACACGUGGUAUCCUGUCUGAAUAUGGGGGACCAUCCUCCAAGGCUAAAUACUCCUGACUGACCGAUAGUGAACCAGUACCGUGAGGGAAAGGCGAAAAGAACCCCGGCGAGGGAGUGAAAAAGAACCUGAAACCGUGUACGUACAAGCAGUGGGAGCCUCUUUUAUGGGGUGACUGCGUACCUUUGUAUAAUGGGUCAGCGACUUAUAUUCUGUAGCAAGGUUAACCGAAUAGGGGAGCCGAAGGGAAACCGAGUCUUAACUGGGCGUUAAGUUGCAGGGUAUAGACCCGAAACCCGGUGAUUCUAGCCAUGGGCAGGUUGAAGGUUGGGUAACACUAACUGGAGGACCGAACCGACUAAUGUUGAAAAAUUAGCGGAUGACUUGUGGCUGGGGGUGAAAGGCCAAUCAAACCGGGAGAUAGCUGGUUCUCCCCGAAAGCUAUUUAGGUAGCGCCUCGUGAAUUCAUCUCCGGGGGUAGAGCACUGUUUCGGCAAGGGGGUCAUCCCGACUUACCAACCCGAUGCAAACUGCGAAUACCGGAGAAUGUUAUCACGGGAGACACACGGCGGGUGCUAACGUCCGUCGUGAAGAGGGAAACAACCCAGACCGCCAGCUAAGGUCCCAAAGUCAUGGUUAAGUGGGAAACGAUGUGGGAAGGCCCAGACAGCCGGGAUGUUGGCUUAGAAGCAGCCAUCAUUUAAAGAAAGCGUAAUAGCUCACUGGUCGAGUCGGCCUGCGCGGAAGAUGUAACGGGGCUAAACCAUGCACCGAAGCUGCGGCAGCGACGCUUAUGCGUUGUUGGGUAGGGGAGCGUUCUGUAAGCCUGCGAAGGUGUGCUGUGAGGCAUGCUGGAGGUAUCAGAAGUGCGAAUGCUGACAUAAGUAACGAUAAAGCGGGUGAAAAGCCCGCUCGCCGGAAGACCAAGGGUUCCUGUCCAACGUUAAUCGGGGCAGGGUGAGUCGACCCCUAAGGCGAGGCCGAAAGGCGUAGUCGAUGGGAAACAGGUUAAUAUUCCUGUACUUGGUGUUACUGCGAAGGGGGGACGGAGAAGGCUAUGUUGGCCGGGCGACGGUUGUCCCGGUUUAAGCGUGUAGGCUGGUUUUCCAGGCAAAUCCGGAAAACCAAGGCUGAGGCGUGAUGACGAGGCACUACGGUGCUGAAGCGACAAAUGCCCUGCUUCCAGGAAAAGCCUCUAAGCAUCAGGUAACAUCAAAUCGUACCCCAAACCGACACAGGUGGUCAGGUAGAGAAUACCAAGGCGCUUGAGAGAACUCGGGUGAAGGAACUAGGCAAAAUGGUGCCGUAACUUCGGGAGAAGGCACGCUGAUAUGUAGGUGAAGCGACUUGCUCGUGGAGCUGAAAUCAGUCGAAGAUACCAGCUGGCUGCAACUGUUUAUUAAAAACACAGCACUGUGCAAACACGAAAGUGGACGUAUACGGUGUGACGCCUGCCCGGUGCCGGAAGGUUAAUUGAUGGGGUUAGCGGUAACGCGAAGCUCUUGAUCGAAGCCCCGGUAAACGGCUACUGUAACUAUAACGGUCCUAAGGUAGCGAAAUUCCUUGUCGGGUAAGUUCCGACCUGCACGAAUGGCGUAAUGAUGGCCGAGCUGUCUCCACCCGAGACUCAGUGAAAUUGAACUCGCUGUGAAGAUGCAGUGUACCCGCGGCAAGACGGAAAGACCCCGUGAACCUUUACUAUAGCUUGACACUGAACAUUGAGCCUUGAUGUGUAGGAUAGGUGGGAGGCUUUGAAGUGUGGACGCCAGUCUGCAUGGAGCCGACCUUGAAAUACCACCCUUUAAUGUUUGAUGUUCUAACGUUGGCCCGUAAUCCGGGUUGCGGACAGUGUCUGGUGGGUAGUUUGACUGGGGCGGUCUCCUCCUAAAGAGUAACGGAGGAGCACGAAGGUUGGCUAAUCUCGGUCGGACAUCAGGAGGUUAGUGCAAUGGCAUAAGCCAGCUUGACUGCGAGCGUGACGGCGCGAGCAGGUGCGAAAGCAGGUCAUAGUGAUCCGGUGGUUCUGAAUGGAAGGGCCAUCGCUCAACGGAUAAAAGGUACUCCGGGGAUAACAGGCUGAUACCGCCCAAGAGUUCAUAUCGACGGCGGUGUUUGGCACCUCGAUGUCGGCUCAUCACAUCCUCGGGGCUGAAGUAGGUCCCAAGGGUAUGGCUGUUCGCCAUUUAAAGUGGUACGCGAGCUGGGUUUAGAACGUCGUGAGACAGUUCGGUCCCUAUCUCGCCGUGGGCGCUGGAGAACUGAGGGGGCUGCUCCUAGUACGAGAGGACCGGAGUGGACGCAUCACUGGUGUUCGGGUUGUCAUGCCAAUGGCACUGCCCGGUAGCUAAAUGCGGAAGAGAUAAGUGCUGAAAGCAUCUAAGCACGAAACUUGCCCCGAGAUGAGUUCUCCCUGAGACUUUAAGUCUCCUGAAGGAACGUUGAAGACGACGACGUUGAUAGGCCGGGUGUGUAAGCGCAGCGAUGCGUUGAGCUAACCGGUACUAAUGAACCGUGAGGCUUAACCUU